CUUUAUUAUGGCUUGAUAACGACACACAUCUUGUCAAAACAUUGUCUGUUACUUGGGAGGACUGAAUAAAAACACACAUUGCAUCUGAAAUUACUGAGUGCUGGAACUUUACUUCUUUUAAUUACUAUUGGAUCCUUGGUGGGUGCUGGGACGUUUACUAACGACAGCACUUUUGUAGAAACAAUUGUAGAAAGUGGUGAGGAAGGCCCAGUUCAAACAAGCUUGCAAUCUAUAGAAACAAUUACACACAGUCACAUAGAUAAGC
Molecule: non-coding RNA, 265 nt
Organism: Pelobates cultripes (western spadefoot toad)
Lineage: Eukaryota; Metazoa; Chordata; Amphibia; Anura; Pelobatidae
Source: the annotation of a GenBank genome assembly